This 468-nucleotide ribosomal RNA is filed under the name uncultured bacterium. Its description in RNAcentral is "partial 16S ribosomal RNA". It matches the Rfam family "Bacterial small subunit ribosomal RNA", at positions 28 to 507 of the family's 1533-position model. The record is from RNAcentral.
GACGAACGCUGGCGGCGUGCUUAACACAUGCAAGUCGAACGGAAAGGCCCUGCUUUUGUGGGGUGCUCGAGUGGCGAACGGGUGAGUAACACGUGAGUAACCUGCCCUUGACUUUGGGAUAACUUCAGGAAACUGGGGCUAAUACCGGAUAGGAGCUCCUGCUGCAUGGUGGGGGUUGGAAAGUUUCGGCGGUUGGGGAUGGACUCGCGGCUUAUCAGCUUGUUGGUGGGGUAGUGGCUUACCAAGGAUUUGACGGGUAGCCGGCCUGAGAGGGUGACCGGCCACAUUGGGACUGAGAUACGGACCAGACUCCAACGGGAGGCAGCAGUGGGGAAUAUUGCACAAUGGGCGGAAGCAUGAUGAAGAAACGCAGCGUGCGGGAUGACGGCCUUCGGGUUGUAAACCGCUUUCGACUGUGACGAAGCGUGAGUGACGGUAAUGGGUAAAGAAGCACCGGCUAACUACGUG